UGGGGAAUUUUGGCCAAUGUGCGCAAGCCUGAUCCAGCCAUUCCGCGUGCAGGACGAAGGCCUUCGGGUUGUAAACUGCUUUUGUACGGAACGAAAAGCCCUUCUCUAAUACAGAGGGGUCAUGACGGUACCGUAAGAAUAAGCACCGGCUAACUACGUGCCAGCAGCCGCGGUAAUACGUAGGGUGCAAGCGUUAAUCGGAAUUACUGGGCGUAAAGCGUGCGCAGGCGGUUUUGUAAGACAGAGGUGAAAUCCCCGGGCUCAACCUGGGAACUGCAUCUGUGACUGCAUCGCUGGAGUGCGGCAGAGGGGGAUGGAAUGCCGGGUGUAGCAGUGAAAUGCGUAGAUAUGCGGAGGAACACAGAUGGCGAAGGCAAUCCCAUGGGACUGCACUGACGCUCAUGCACGAAAGCGGGGGGAGAAAAAA
RNAcentral lists this ribosomal RNA (427 nucleotides) under uncultured bacterium. RNAcentral describes it as "bacterial SSU rRNA". It matches the Rfam family "Bacterial small subunit ribosomal RNA", at positions 355 to 774 of the family's 1533-position model. The record is from RNAcentral.